CCUACGGGUGGCAGCAGUGGGGAAUAUUGCACAAUGGGGGCGACCCUGAUGCAGCAAUGCCGCGUGGGUGAAGAAGCACUCCGGUGCGUAAAGCCCUGUCAGCAGGGAAGAAAAUGACAGUACCUGGACAAGAAGCCCCGGGUAACUACGUGACAGCAGCCGCGGUAAUACGGAGGGGGCCAGCGGUAUCCGGAUUUACUGGGUGUAAAGGGGGCGCAGGCGGGGUGGCAAGUCAGAUGGGAAAACCCGGGGCCCAACCCCGGGAGUGCAUUUGAAACUGCCAUGCUGGAGUGCCAGAGAGGUAUGCGGAAUGCCUGGUGUAGCGGUGAAAUGCGUAGAUAUUAGGAGGAACCCCAGUGGCGGAGGCGGCUUACUGGACGGUAACUGACGCUGAGGCUCGAAAGCGUGGGGAGCAAACAGGAUUAGAUACCCGGGUAGUC
Molecule: ribosomal RNA, 440 nt
Filed under: uncultured bacterium
Lineage: Bacteria
Description: partial 16S ribosomal RNA
Rfam family: Bacterial small subunit ribosomal RNA
Source: RNAcentral